This 328-nucleotide ribosomal RNA is filed under the name uncultured bacterium. Its description in RNAcentral is "bacterial SSU rRNA". It matches the Rfam family "Bacterial small subunit ribosomal RNA", at positions 568 to 898 of the family's 1533-position model. The record is from RNAcentral.
UGCGUAGGCGGGUAGGUAAGUCAGUGGUGAAAUCUCAGGGCUUAACUCUGAAACUGCCAUUGAUACUAUCUAUCUUGAAUAUUGUGGAGGUAAGCGGAAUAUGUCAUGUAGCGGUGAAAUGCUUAGAUAUGACAUAGAACACCCAUUGCGAAGGCAGCUUACUACACAUAUAUUGACGCUGAUGCACGAAAGCGUGGGGAUCAAACAGGAUUAGAUACCCUGGUAGUCCACGCCCUAAACGAUGAUUACUCGACAUACGCAAUACACCGUGUGUGUCUGAGCGAAAGCAUUAAGUAAUCCACCUGGGAAGUACGAUCGCAAGAUUGAA